UAGUUAUUCCUCAAAUAGAUAGUUGGCAAUUUCCUUUCCAAAAUCUUGUUUUGAUUUGUAGAAUUAGCUUUCUAAUUUUAAAGGCCACAAAUAAGAAACAAUUAAAAUCUGCUUCUUGAAAUCUAUUUUUCAUUUCGAAUUCAAAUUUUAAUUUAAUUUUGAAUUCAAAUUUUAAAUUUAAAUAUAGAUUUUAAAUCUUAAAUUUUAAAUUUCAAGCUUUAAAUUUUAAAUUUUAAAAUUUCAAAUUUUAAAUUUAUAUAUUGAACUUAAUUUUUCAAAUUUAAAAUUUAAAAUUUAAAAUUUAAAACUUAAAAUUUAAGUCAAUAUUUAAAAUUUAAAAUUUUUAUUAAGUUUUAAAUUUAAAUUUUAAAUUUUAAGAUUCAGAUAAAUUUAAAUUUUAUUUUAAAUUUAAAAUUUCAAAAUUUUAAUUCUAAAUUUAAAUUUAAUUAUUAAAUUUUAAAUUCUAAUUCAGCUUUUAAAUUCAAAAUCUUAAAUAUUAAAUUUUAAACUAAAAUUUAGAAAAAAAAAAAUAAUUUGCAAACGGUAAAAAUAUUUUGCCAAAUACUUUCGCAAAAUUAUUUUCAAAAUCACUUU
RNAcentral lists this long non-coding RNA (594 nucleotides) under Ananas comosus (pineapple). RNAcentral's name for it is "long non-coding RNA (ACOM_LNC016146)". Lineage: Eukaryota; Viridiplantae; Streptophyta; Magnoliopsida; Poales; Bromeliaceae. The record is from RNAcentral.